This 57-nucleotide transfer RNA is filed under the name Megalothorax incertus. RNAcentral describes it as "tRNA-Arg". Lineage: Eukaryota; Metazoa; Arthropoda; Collembola; Neelipleona; Neelidae. The record is from RNAcentral.
ACUUUACUUUAAAGACCAUGCAGUUUCGACCUGAUAAAAGGCUAAAGCCCUUUUUAU